Molecule: non-coding RNA, 25 nt
Filed under: Bombyx mori (domestic silkworm)
Lineage: Eukaryota; Metazoa; Arthropoda; Insecta; Lepidoptera; Bombycidae
Source: RNAcentral
UCUGAGUCGAGCUCUGACAGUGCUU